UAGGGAAUCUUCCGCAAUGGACGAAAGUCUGACGGAGCAACGCCGCGUGAGUGAAGAAGGAUUUCGGUUCGUAAAACCCUGUUGUUAGGGAAGAAAAAAUGUAUAGUAACUAUAUACAAAAGAGACGGUACCUAACCAGAAAGCCACGGCUAACUACGUGCCAGCAGCCGCGGUAAUACGUAGGUGGCAAGCGUUGUCCGGAAUUAUUGGGCGUAAAGCGCGCGCAGGUGGUUUAGAAAGUCUGAUGUGAAAGCCCACGGCUCAACCGUGGAGGGUCAUUGGAAACUAAUAAACUUGAGUGCAGGGGAGAAAAGUGGAAUUCCUAGUGUAGCGGUGAAAUGCGUAGAGAUUAGGAGGAACACCGGUGGCGAAAGCGGCUUUUUGGCCUGCAACUGACACUGAGGCGCGAAAGCGGGGGGAGCAAACAGG
Molecule: ribosomal RNA, 429 nt
Filed under: Verrucomicrobiota bacterium
Lineage: Bacteria; Pseudomonadati; Verrucomicrobiota
Description: Verrucomicrobia bacterium partial 16S ribosomal RNA
Rfam family: Bacterial small subunit ribosomal RNA
Source: RNAcentral